Non-coding RNA from Sturnus vulgaris (Common starling), 87 nucleotides. NCBI's taxonomy places the organism in Eukaryota, Metazoa, Chordata, Aves, Passeriformes, Sturnidae. The record is from RefSeq and is a predicted model, not a curated record.
UGCAGGCUGAACAAUCCCAAUUCUCUCAGCCUUUCCUCAUAGCAGAGCUGCUCAUCCCUCUGAUCAACUUGUCCUUCUUCUGAGAUC